GUCCACGCCCUAAACGAUGUCAACUAGCCGUUGGAGGAAUUAAAUCCUUUAGUGGCGCAGCUAACGCGAUAAGUUGACCGCCUGGGGAGUACGGCCGCAAGGUUAAAACUCAAAGGAAUUGACGGGGCCCGCACAAGCGGUGGAGCAUGUGGUUUAAUUCGAUGCAACGCGAAGAACCUUACCAGGUCUUGACAUCCUCGGAACUUUCCAGAAAUGGAUUGGUGCCUUCGGGAGCCGAGAGACAGGUGCUGCAUGGCUGUCGU
This 263-nucleotide ribosomal RNA is filed under the name uncultured bacterium. RNAcentral's name for it is "partial 16S ribosomal RNA". It matches the Rfam family "Bacterial small subunit ribosomal RNA", at positions 793 to 1055 of the family's 1533-position model. The record is from RNAcentral.